Molecule: long non-coding RNA, 965 nt
Organism: Scophthalmus maximus (turbot)
Lineage: Eukaryota; Metazoa; Chordata; Actinopteri; Pleuronectiformes; Scophthalmidae
Exons: 4
Source: RefSeq, a predicted model, not a curated record
CAAAGCUCGCGAAACUUUAAAAAGCAACCACAAUGGCGGUCAGGAGAGCACAACAUAAUGUAAACUCUGAGUCUACACUCUGUUGACUGACGAGGCAAAACUGUUGCUCCCGUCUUCAGUAAUCCAGAUCCUUAUUAAGGAUUUACAGGAUGCAUGUGACGUCAGCCAGUCCCAUCUAUUUCAUAAGCCCAAAGGAGACGUUGGUGAAGUUGGUGUAAUAAAUAACAUGAUGGAUCUCCUGAAAUCAGAGGAUGUUUCCCGUGCGUGCAACACUGGUCCAUUAAAAAUCGAAAAAGAAGAAGAAAUUCAGGUCCAAUGAUACAGACAAACCAGCGAUGAAAGAUCAGCAUAGGGAAAUGGUUGCUGUGUGAAGGAACGUUCUUUGUGCUUGGUCUUGCUGUAAUCUUCUCCCCUGACUACAGUUUCAUCCUUCUGUAUGAACAUGAUGCAGCCUCCACACUGGAAUUCACUCAGAGGAAUAAGCGUCAACGCCUUCAAAGGAAAACUGGUUUCUAUUCAGAAGCGAUUGGACAGAAUCUGUGGUUAAGGACAAAACAAAGUUGUUGGUCUCAACCUAUGGUUAGGGAAGAAUGAUUUUCAUGUUAUUCCUCAAGUAUUCUUCAACAGGACACGUAUGGGACUUCAGUUCAGAUGGUUUAGCCACAAUCGUCAUGACUAAUGACAGUUAUCAGGAAAGUGCUGUUUCUGAACGUGGCCCUCUGUAGGGGAUGUAGGAGUUGUGGCUCUGAGGCUGUGCUUUGCCAUGCGCACAGGGGGUUAAACUCAAGUGACAAUCCAUUGGUUUGUGAACUGCCAUUUUGAAAUUUGAUUUUCGCAUUCUGACCAGCGCCAUCUUGGUUGUUUUGGAACCAGAUGCUCGCCCACCUACACCUGCAACCAUUCACCGUUUGGAUGAUACUACAAAGGUAUGAAAAAAAAGGCUUUUUUUCCCCUUAAGACUGAAG